RNAcentral lists this ribosomal RNA (1034 nucleotides) under Flavobacterium sp. Its description in RNAcentral is "bacterial SSU rRNA". The record is from RNAcentral. Lineage: Bacteria; Pseudomonadati; Bacteroidota; Flavobacteriia; Flavobacteriales; Flavobacteriaceae.
GAGACCGGCGCACGGGUGCGUAACGCGUAUGCAAUCUACCUUUUACAGAGGGAUAGCCCAGAGAAAUUUGGAUUAAUACCUCAUAGYAUUGCRRSAUGGCAUCAUKMWKMWAUUAAAGUCACAACGGUAAAAGAUGAGCAUGCGUCCCAUUAGCUAGUUGGUAAGGUAACGGCUUACCAAGGCUACGAUGGGUAGGGGUCCUGAGAGGGAGAUCCCCCACACUGGUACUGAGACACGGACCAGACUCCUACGGGAGGCAGCAGUGAGGAAUAUUGGACAAUGGGCGCAAGCCUGAUCCAGCCAUGCCGCGUGCAGGAUGACGGUCCUAUGGAUUGUAAACUGCUUUUAUACGAGAAGAAACACUACUUCGUGAAGUAGCUUGACGGUAUCGUAAGAAUAAGGAUCGGCUAACUCCGUGCCAGCAGCCGCGGUAAUACGGAGGAUCCAAGCGUUAUCCGGAAUCAUUGGGUUUAAAGGGUCCGUAGGCGGUUUAAUAAGUCAGUGGUGAAAGCCCAUCGCUCAACGGUGGAACGGCCAUUGAUACUGUUAGACUUGAAUUAUUAGGAAGUAACUAGAAUAUGUAGUGUAGCGGUGAAAUGCUUAGAGAUUACAUGGAAUACCAAUUGCGAAGGCAGGUUACUACUAAUUGAUUGACGCUGAUGGACGAAAGCGUGGGUAGCGAACAGGAUUAGAUACCCUGGUAGUCCACGCCGUAAACGAUGGAUACUAGCUGUUGGGAGCAAUCUCAGUGGCUAAGCGAAAGUGAUAAGUAUCCCACCUGGGGAGUACGUUCGCAAGAAUGAAACUCAAAGGAAUUGACGGGGGCCCGCACAAGCGGUGGAGCAUGUGGUUUAAUUCGAUGAUACGCGAGGAACCUUACCAAGGCUUAAAUGUAGAUUGACCGGUUUGGAAACAGAUCUUUCGCAAGACAAUUUACAAGGUGCUGCAUGGUUGUCGUCAGCUCGUGCCGUGAGGUGUCAGGUUAAGUCCUAUAACGAGCGCAACCCCUGUUGUUAGUUGCCAGCGAGUCAUGU